AGAGUUCGAUCAUGGCUCAGGAUGAACGCUGGCGGCGUGCUUAACACAUGCAAGUCGAACGAAGCACUGGGAAACGGAGAUUUCGGUUGAAGUUUUCCUUUGACUGAGUGGCGGACGGGUGAGUAACGCGUGGGUAACCUGCCCUGUACAGGGGGAUAACAGUUAGAAAUGAUUGCUAAUACCGCAUAAGCGCACAGCUCCGCAUGGAGCGGUGUGAAAAACUGAGGUGGUACAGGAUGGGCCCGCGUUGGAUUAGCUAGUUGGCGGAGUAACGGCCCACCAAGGCGACGAUCCAUAGCCGGCCUGAGAGGGUGAACGGCCACAUUGGGACUGAGACACGGCCCAA
This 346-nucleotide ribosomal RNA is filed under the name uncultured bacterium. RNAcentral's name for it is "bacterial SSU rRNA". It matches the Rfam family "Bacterial small subunit ribosomal RNA", at positions 8 to 334 of the family's 1533-position model. The record is from RNAcentral.